GCACGGCCCGUUGCCCAACACUAUCUGUGACUCUGACUUCUUCCUAUAUGUUCUUUUUCUUGGAACAUCAGAACAAGUUUCGGUCAUUCAGCAGCAUAUUUACUUAUCAGUUAAUGGAAGUUCAUUUCUUGUCGCUGAAUUUGUUUAUUCUUGUGUACUUCUUUCUGAGAUCUAGUCUAGGUUGUGGUUCAUGAAAGGGCUGCCCUUGAUUGUCUAGACUUCAAUUCAUGCUAGGAAUAAAUGUAAGAGUCCUGUGCGCUGAUAAGAAGCUCAAGGUUUUCCAGUCCUUCAUGAAUACUUAACAAAAGAAGGCAUAAGGAGAACAAACAAAGAUUUUAGCAAGCACUAAGGUGUUAAAUUGCAGUUUCUUAUAUGCAGAAGUAUAGUUGAACGAGCAGAAACCUUCUCCAUGAAUGCAUAAUUAUUGUUGAGGGCUAUCUUCAUUUCUUAGAACUUAAGGUAUCAAACCAACUCCUUUUUCCAGCCCUUAUUUUGUUCAUUAUCAGUUAACUUAAUGUUAUAAAAUGUCGAGAUCUUACACCAGAGGAAUCUAUAUAGCAGAUACAGGCAACACUAGAAACGCGCUUUGUUAUGCCCCGGUUGAGCUUAAAAGAGGAGAUUAACUGAUAAAGCAAAAGAAAACCAGAGAAUUGUUUUACUACAAUCCAAUCCAAAAGUCUGAGAAAUACAUCACCAUAAUACACUGACAUUCUACUAGAUACAUCACCAUAAUACACUGACAUUCUACUAGACAUAGCUUUGAUAGAACUUCAUCCUUGUCCACAUGACUAGUUCUAAUCAACCUGACAUAACUACUUGCCUCUCUCCAAAGAGAGAGAGAGAGAGAGAGAGAGAGAGAGAGAGAGAUU
Molecule: long non-coding RNA, 869 nt
Filed under: Phoenix dactylifera (date palm)
Lineage: Eukaryota; Viridiplantae; Streptophyta; Magnoliopsida; Arecales; Arecaceae
Description: long non-coding RNA (PDAC_LNC017467)
Source: RNAcentral